UACGAAGGGGGCUAGCGUUGUUCGGAAUUACUGGGCGUAAAGGGCGCGUAGGCGGCUUUGUAAGUCGGGGGUGAAAGCCUGUGGCUCAACCACAGAAUUGCCUUCGAUACUGCAUGGCUUGAGACCGGAAGAGGUUAGUGGAACUGCGAGUGUAGAGGUGAAAUUCGUAGAUAUUCGCAAGAACACCAGUGGCGAAGGCGGCUGACUGGUCCGGAUCUGACGCUGAGGCGCGAAAGCGUGGGGAGCAAACAGG
This 253-nucleotide ribosomal RNA is filed under the name uncultured bacterium. RNAcentral's name for it is "partial 16S ribosomal RNA". It matches the Rfam family "Bacterial small subunit ribosomal RNA", at positions 524 to 776 of the family's 1533-position model. The record is from RNAcentral.